This 73-nucleotide transfer RNA is filed under the name Capra hircus (goat). It matches the Rfam family "tRNA". Rfam says of the family: Transfer RNA (tRNA) molecules are approximately 80 nucleotides in length. Their secondary structure includes four short double-helical elements and three loops (D, anti-codon, and T loops). RNAcentral also lists the same sequence under 1 other name. Lineage: Eukaryota; Metazoa; Chordata; Mammalia; Artiodactyla; Bovidae. The record is from Rfam by way of RNAcentral.
CCCCUGGUGGUCCAGUGGCUAAGACUCCAUACUCCCAACACAGGGGGCCCAGGUUCAAUCCCUGGUCAGGGAA